This 439-nucleotide ribosomal RNA is filed under the name uncultured bacterium. RNAcentral describes it as "partial 16S ribosomal RNA". It matches the Rfam family "Bacterial small subunit ribosomal RNA", at positions 339 to 795 of the family's 1533-position model. The record is from RNAcentral.
CUACGGGUGGCUGCAGUGGGGAAUAUUGCACAAUGGAGGAAACUCUGAUGCAGCAACGCCGCGUGGAGGAUGACACUUUUCGGAGCGUAAACUCCUUUUAUAUAGGAAGAAGAUGACGGUACUAUAUGAAUAAGCGCCGGCUAACUCCGUGCCAGCAGCCGCGGUAAUACGGAGGGCGCAAGCGUUACUCGGAAUCACUGGGCGUAAAGAGCGUGUAGGCGGAUUAAAAAGUCAGAAGUGAAAUCCUAUAGCUUAACUAUAGAACUGCUUCUGAAACUCUUAAUCUAGAAUAUGGGAGAGGUAGAUGGAAUUUCUGGUGUAGGGGUAAAAUCCGUAGAGAUCAGAAGGAAUACCGAUUGCGAAGGCGAUCUACUAGAACAUUAUUGACGCUGAGGUGCGAAAGCGUGGGGAGCAAACAGGAUUAGAUACCCUCGUAGUC